GGUUCCAUGGUGUAAUGGUGAGCACUCUGGACUUUGAAUCCAGUGAUCGAGUUCAAGUCUCGGUGGAACAUAGUUUCA
RNAcentral lists this transfer RNA (78 nucleotides) under Merluccius polli (Benguela hake). Its description in RNAcentral is "tRNA-Gln". It matches the Rfam family "tRNA". From Rfam's summary of the family: Transfer RNA (tRNA) molecules are approximately 80 nucleotides in length. Lineage: Eukaryota; Metazoa; Chordata; Actinopteri; Gadiformes; Merlucciidae. The record is from RNAcentral.